Molecule: transfer RNA, 63 nt
Filed under: Bradyrhizobium japonicum
Lineage: Bacteria; Pseudomonadati; Pseudomonadota; Alphaproteobacteria; Hyphomicrobiales; Nitrobacteraceae
Description: partial tRNA-Phe
Rfam family: tRNA
About the family: Transfer RNA (tRNA) molecules are approximately 80 nucleotides in length.
Source: RNAcentral
GUUGGUAGAGCAUGCGACUGAAAAUCGCAGUGUCGGUGGUUCGAUUCCGCCCCCUGGGCACCA